This 465-nucleotide ribosomal RNA is filed under the name uncultured Klebsiella sp. RNAcentral describes it as "bacterial SSU rRNA". It matches the Rfam family "Bacterial small subunit ribosomal RNA", at positions 338 to 795 of the family's 1533-position model. Lineage: Bacteria; Pseudomonadati; Pseudomonadota; Gammaproteobacteria; Enterobacterales; Enterobacteriaceae. The record is from RNAcentral.
CCUACGGGAGGCUGCAGUGGGGAAUAUUGCACAAUGGGCGCAAGCCUGAUGCAGCCAUGCCGCGUGUGUGAAGAAGGCCUUCGGGUUGUAAAGCACUUUCAGCGGGGAGGAAGGCGGUGAGGUUAAUAACCUCAUCGAUUGACGUUACCCGCAGAAGACGCACCGGCUAACUCCGUGCCAGCAGCCGCGGUAAUACGGAGGGUGCAAGCGUUAAUCGGAAUUACUGGGCGUAAAGCGCACGCAGGCGGUCUGUCAAGUCGGAUGUGAAAUCCCCGGGCUCAACCUGGGAACUGCAUUCGAAACUGGCAGGCUAGAGUCUUGUAGAGGGGGGUAGAAUUCCAGGUGUAGCGGUGAAAUGCGUAGAGAUCUGGAGGAAUACCAGUGGCGAAGGCGGCCCCCUGGACAAAGACUGACGCUCAGGUGCGAAAGCGUGGGGAGCAAACAGGAUUAGAUACCCGAGUAGUC